Long non-coding RNA from Lontra canadensis (Northern American river otter), 686 nucleotides. RefSeq lists it as uncharacterized. The transcript has 5 exons. NCBI's taxonomy places the organism in Eukaryota, Metazoa, Chordata, Mammalia, Carnivora, Mustelidae. The record is from RefSeq and is a predicted model, not a curated record.
ACCCACCCAUGCCACUCCCAACAUCCAAAUGGUUUCCAAAACUGCAGUCAGGCUAGUACAAAUGGGGCUUCUGUCACUUGAAACCAAAAGAGUCCUAAGAAUGUCACCUGACUCCCUUUCACUCACUGUGAGCUGUGGAAUACCUGUGACUGCUCUCCGUCAGCUUCUUGUUUACAGAAUCAAGAAAAGUUCUUGAAAGCUACCAUUUUGAAGAGAGAUGUGAAGGGAAGAGACUUUCACUUUCCGUUUGUCUAUAUUGUCUGAAUCUCAUAACCUGGUUGAGAAGGAUGCCCUAGAUUCCGCUGCCUUCCCUUGGUGACCCCAGCCCACAUAAUUACACAUCUUCUACUUCUAAGAAGGAGCCAGGACCCGCUGUGCCCCAUGUUAACAUGUAACAGCCAGGCCAGACCAUCUGGAGAGUUCCAGCACCAUCCAGAAGGAAUUUUUACUGGCGAGCCCAGUGGUUGUCAGAUGGGUCCUCGCUCCAGACUCCAUGCAGUUCACACAGGGAGUACCUGAGAACAUCAGAGCGCACCCCAUGGGAUGAGAGCUACACACAGUCUCUUCAUGAAAUAAAGCAAACAAGUAGCUCCACAACUUUUUGAAGCUCUAACAAGAUCUCUCUAGUGAAACACAAAAUACUUCAGAAGACUGAGUAGAAGACAAAAAUAUUCAUUCAUUCAUUC